This 792-nucleotide ribosomal RNA is filed under the name uncultured Lactobacillus sp. RNAcentral's name for it is "bacterial SSU rRNA". It matches the Rfam family "Bacterial small subunit ribosomal RNA", at positions 28 to 776 of the family's 1533-position model. The record is from RNAcentral. Lineage: Bacteria; Bacillati; Bacillota; Bacilli; Lactobacillales; Lactobacillaceae.
GACGAACGCUGGGCGGCGUGCCUAAUACAUGCAAGUCGAGCCGAGCUUGCCUAGAUGAAUUUUGGUGCUUGCACCAAAUGAAACUAGAUACAAGCGAGCGGCGGACGGGUGAGUAACACGUGGGGUAACCUGCCCAAGAGACUGGGAUAACACCUGGAAACAGACGCUAAUACCGGAUAACAACACUAGACGCAUGUCUAGAGUUUAAAAGAUGGUUCUGCUAUCACUCUUGGAUGGACCUGCGGUGCAUUAGCUAGUUGGUAAGGUGACGGCUUACCAAGGCAAUGAUGCAUAGCCGAGUUGAGAGACUGAUCGGCCACAUUGGGACUGAGACACGGCCCAAACUCCUACGGGAGGCAGCAGUAGGGAAUCUUCCACAAUGGACGCAAGUCUGAUGGAGCAACGCCGCGUGAGUGAAGAAGGGUUUCGGCUCGUAAAGCUCUGUUGGUAGUGAAGAAAGAUAGAGGUAGUAACUGGCCUUUAUUUGACGGUAAUUACUUAGAAAGUCACGGCUAACUACGUGCCAGCAGCCGCGGUAAUACGUAGGUGGCAAGCGUUGUCCGGAUUUAUUGGGCGUAAAGCGAGUGCAGGCGGUUCAAUAAGUCUGAUGUGAAAGCCUUCGGCUCAACCGGAGAAUUGCAUCAGAAACUGUUGAACUUGAGUGCAGAAGAGGAGAGUGGAACUCCAUGUGUAGCGGUGGAAUGCGUAGAUAUAUGGAAGAACACCAGUGGCGAAGGCGGCUCUCUGGUCUGCAACUGACGCUGAGGCUCGAAAGCAUGGGUAGCGAACAGG